Molecule: ribosomal RNA, 439 nt
Filed under: uncultured bacterium
Lineage: Bacteria
Description: partial 16S ribosomal RNA
Rfam family: Bacterial small subunit ribosomal RNA
Source: RNAcentral
CUACGGGCUGCUCCAGUGGGGAAUCUUAGACAAUGGGGGCAACCCUGAUCUAGCCAUGCCGCGUGAGUGAUGAAGGCCUUAGGGUCGUAAAGCUCUUUCGCCUGUGAUGAUAAUGACAGUAGCAGGUAAAGAAACCCCGGCUAACUCCGUGCCAGCAGCCGCGGUAAUACGGAGGGGGUUAGCGUUGUUCGGAAUUACUGGGCGUAAAGCGCGCGUAGGCGGAUUAGAAAGUUGGGGGUGAAAUCCCGGGGCUCAACCUCGGAACUGCCUCCAAAACUGCUAGUCUAGAGUUCGAGAGAGGUGAGUGGAAUUCCGAGUGUAGAGGUGAAAUUCGUAGAUAUUCGGAGGAACACCAGUGGCGAAGGCGGCUCACUGGCUCGAUACUGACGCUGAGGUGCGAAAGUGUGGGGAGCAAACGGGAUUAGAUACCCGGGUAGUC